Molecule: long non-coding RNA, 1672 nt
Organism: Heterocephalus glaber (naked mole-rat)
Lineage: Eukaryota; Metazoa; Chordata; Mammalia; Rodentia; Bathyergidae
Source: RefSeq, a predicted model, not a curated record
GGUCAAGAAGAAUAUCAGGAAAUUCUCUUGAUCAUCAUCAUCUUGAGGAUAUUCACAUACCCUCAGUAAACUGGUGUGCAGAGACUGAGACUUGAGGACCAGAUGCCAGCCCAUCAGGUCAGAACCCCCAGAGAUGUAGACGUGGCAGGUGCUCCAUGAGGGAAAGACAGAAUGGAGCAUGCCUGGUACUCCUUUCACUGGCAUAUGGGACAGCAGAGCAGCAACUCCCUGGGCAAGGAAUACGCGGACGGUGAGACAGAGGCCUUCAAGGAAUCGCGCUUCCCUUGAGAGCUAAAGAUGGAUUUUACAUAUUUGCCUUAUAAAGACAAUUCUCCUUUCUACAAAAACAGUUACUUUGAUUUAAAGGCAUUGAGAAUAGAAACAAUAACCAACUGCGGACAAGAGAAGUGAUGUCUAGUACUCCCAGAUGAAUUGACAGGUGCUCAGUUGUUUACUUGAGUCCUCCUUCAGUAUGAAGUGACAAGAAUCAUCUAUGAACAGCACGCUUGGAACAAGUAUAGGUAACAAUAUUUCAAAGAAGUUGAGAAAACUAAUUUAGAACAAACUGAUGUAGAAUUUGUUAAGAUGUGUUUCAAUUGAUGCUGGAAAACUGUAGAGAGUGCAAAAAGGCUAAUUUGAAAAAUUUUAAAAGCUUGUAAAAAUACAAGGUGUUUUAUGACCAUAUGCAUUCGUUUUGCUACUCAUUGUCUGCUAUUUUGCCUAAAAUGUUUUGCUACCAUGUGUUAGCAUUGUCACUGGUAAACUUCAUUCACUCUAGAAGAUAUUUCAUAGAUACUGUUUGUUUGUUAGUCUGUUUAUUCAUUUGUUUCUGGUCAGAUUUUGAAGCUGAAUAUCCUGAACUUAUCCUACUAUACAGCAGUUGGACAGGUCAAGAUCAAUAAAACUUCUUUGAGUUUUUUGAGCUGAAGAAUGAGACCAAAAUAUUUUUCUUUGUAAAAAAUAACUUGCAGUUGGCCUCUAUUAGCAGCUACUAAAUGUCUUUAAAAAUUAACUUUAGCUAUGAAUUUGAUAAUGUUUCUAAUAAAUUCAACCUGUAAUUUCAAGGCAAAAUAGUGCUUAUAAAAGUUAUACUGUAAUAAAUCAUUUAGACAGUGUUAUAUGAAUCAUUGGUAUAAUGUAAACUUAUUUUAUUCAUUUCUGUGCUAUCAAAAGUUAAAAUAAGUUUUCUCUUCCCACAAAUAUUUUGAGCAUAUGUGAUUUGCAAGACCAAGCUACAGCUUUAAAAGCAUUUUUUCUCAUCUUAAUGUAAAGACAAAGGAAAUGUCUAUAUUUCAUAAAUCAUUUAACUUUACAAUUGAAACACUGUCAUCUCAUUUUUAAAUUGGAAAUAAUUACAAUACAUAGUAAAAAUAACAAGAAAAUAUAGAAUUUUAUCAAUGCCAUCUAUGGGAUAAAUAUCUGCAAUUAAAAUCAUAUGUUAGUACUUUGAUAACAGUGUGUGGCACUUCUGUAUCUGAAAAAAAAUUUUUUCAAAGAUGAACUCUGUAAAAUCUCAUUUACAUCAGCACCAACAGAUAAACAUUUAUCAUAAUUUGUAAUGGGGAACAUUGUUUUUAAACUCUGAGUAAAUGAAAUCUUAUUAAAAUAAUUCCCUAAUUACACUCAAUUAUAAUGUGUUCAAUUUCCUCUAUAAAAUUACCAAAAAAAAUCU